RNAcentral lists this ribosomal RNA (263 nucleotides) under uncultured archaeon. Its description in RNAcentral is "partial 16S ribosomal RNA". It matches the Rfam family "Archaeal small subunit ribosomal RNA", at positions 717 to 982 of the family's 1478-position model. The record is from RNAcentral.
AGACGUCUACAUUAGAUACCCGGGUAGUCCUAGCCGUAAAUGAUACUCGCUAGGUGUCGGCCACGGUGCGACCGUUGUCGGUGCCGUGGGGAAGCCGUGAAGCGAGCCACCUGGGAAGUACGGCCGCAAGGCUGAAACUUAAAGGAAUUGCGGGGGAGCACCACAGCGCGUGGAGCCUGCGGUUUAAUUGGAUUCAACGCCGGACAUCUCACCAGGGCGACAGCAGAAUGAUGGCCAGGUUGAUGACCUUGCUUGACAAGCUG